Molecule: ribosomal RNA, 253 nt
Filed under: uncultured bacterium
Lineage: Bacteria
Description: partial 16S ribosomal RNA
Rfam family: Bacterial small subunit ribosomal RNA
Source: RNAcentral
UACAGAGGGUGCAAGCGUUAAUCGGAAUUACUGGGCGUAAAGCGCGCGUAGGUGGUUCGUUAAGUUGGAUGUGAAAUCCCCGGGCUCAACCUGGGAACUGCAUUCAAAACUGUCGAGCUAGAGUAUGGUAGAGGGCGGUGGAAUUUCCUGUGUAGCGGUGAAAUGCGUAGAUAUAGGAAGGAACACCAGUGGCGAAGGCGACCACCUGGACUGAUACUGACACUGAGGUGCGAAAGCGUGGGGAGCAAACGGG